This 1258-nucleotide long non-coding RNA is filed under the name Monodelphis domestica (gray short-tailed opossum). RNAcentral's name for it is "lncRNA (ENSMODG00000042230.1)". Lineage: Eukaryota; Metazoa; Chordata; Mammalia; Didelphimorphia; Didelphidae. The record is from RNAcentral.
AUGUAUACUCAGGCAGUCACUCAAUCACUAAACCUAGGCUUUAGUCUUCAUUUGUAAAAUGAGGGGCUUGAAUUGGGUGGUCCCUAAGGCCCCUUCCAACUCUAGAUGAAGGACUCUAUGAGUUUAAAUACAUUCACCGAGUCAAUUCACUUCUCUUCUCUGGACUUCAGUUUUCUCACAUGGCAUAAAUUGAACAAGAAAGUUGUUACAUUUUUUUUUUCAGGUCAAGUGGUUGAAAUCAGUAAAUAACAACAACCUACAGUUAUGACUGCUUACCAGGGACAAUCCAGGCUUGUUUGGUCAUAUCUGGUUUGCCUAAAAUGGAGGCACCUUCGAAGGACCUUUGGAGAAUGAAUGCCAGAUUGUCUAACAUAGAAGCUUUUGUUUCUUCUAUCCCAUGGCUGGGUGUAGCUUUCAUUGGCUGCCUACAUCUUUAAAACUCCAGAGAUUGAGGUGCCAGAGGCAAUUCCUACAGGAUUCGAGAGUUGAAGCUGUGCCAACAGGUCUGCAGGAGGGAUGGGACAGUCAGCCAGUCCAGCAGGGAAACCUUGCCCAGAGAAAACAGGGUACAUGGGACUCAAGCCCAAGAGGGAUUUUUGGACUCAGAACUAGCUCUAUAGCUCUUAUGGUGAACCUUUUACAUCUGGAAUGCCAGACUCUCUUCCCCCUGCUCCCAGACCAGAGUGCCAUGCCUGCCCCCCCACCAGAGACUGAGUGCCAUGCCUCUCCCCCCACUGAGUGCCAGACACAUCCCCUCUCCUUAUCCCACAUGGGAGGGAGAAAGAGUUCCCGUUGAGUUGCUGGGUGGAGAGGAGGGUGAAGUGAGGAAUGUCCUCAGCUAGUGUAGAAAGGGGGAGGGGAGUGGCCUGAGCUCUCUGCUCCCCUCCAGUUGUGCUGCCCACCUUACCCUCUGUGUGCUCCUGUUGGGGAGGGGAGCAGCUCUGUCCAAGUCUCUCUGCCUUUCUAGUAAAAAACUUGGCAGGGAGGGGAAGGAAGGUGGCUGUGUGCCUACAGAGAGCUCUCUGUGUGCCAUCUUUGGCACCUGUGCCAUAGGUUUGCCAUCACUGCUCUAUAGGAACUGAGCAAAGCUAUAACCUUAAUCUUCUUCCCUUUCCAAGAGACUGAGAUGGUACAAAUGAGGAGGAUUAUGUCAUUGAGUGGAGAAAGUUUGUAUAUUUGUGAUUAUUGAAUAAUAUGAUAUUUUACAAUCUCUUCAAAAUAUGUGAUAUUUAAAAAUAAACAUUCAUUUGUAAAAGCA